Molecule: ribosomal RNA, 460 nt
Filed under: uncultured bacterium
Lineage: Bacteria
Description: partial 16S ribosomal RNA
Rfam family: Bacterial small subunit ribosomal RNA
Source: RNAcentral
CCUACGGGUGGCAGCAGUGAGGAAUAUUGGUCAAUGGACGAGAGUCGGAACCAGCCAAGUAGCGUGAAGGAUGACUGCCCGAUGGGUUGUAAACUUCGUUUAUAAAGGAAUAAAACGAGGCACGUGUGCCUUUUUGCAUGUACUUUAUGAAUAAGGAUCGGCUAACUCCGUGCCAGCAGCCGCGGUAAUACGGAGGAUCCGAGCGUUAUCCGGAUUGAUUGGGUUUAAAGGGAGCGUAGAUGGGUUGUUAAGUCAGUUGUGAAAGUUUGCGGCUCAACCGUAAAAUUGCAAUUGAUACCGGCAGUCUUGAGUACAGUUGAGGUAGGCGGAAUUCGUGGUGUAGCGGUGACAUGCUUAGAUAUCACGAAGAACCCCGAUUGCGAAGGCAGCUUACUAAACUGUGACUGACAUUGAUGCUCGACAGUGUGGGUAUCAAACAGGCUUAGAUACCCUGGUAGUC